GAUGAACGCUGGCGGCGUGCCUAAUGCAUGCAAGUCGAGCGAACGGACGAGAAGCUUGCUUCUCUGAUGUUAGCGGCGGACGGGUAAGUAACACGUGGAUAACCUACCUAUAAGACUGGGAUAACUUCGGGAAACCGGAGCUAAUACCGGAUAAUAUUUUGAACCGCAUGGUUCAAAAGUGAAAGACGGUCUUGCUGUCACUUAUAGAUGGAUCCGCGCUGCAUUAGCUAGUUGGUAAGGUAACGGCUUACCAAGGCAACGAUGCAUAGCCGACCUGAGAGGGUGAUCGGCCACACUGGAACUGAGACACGGUCCAGACUCCUACGGGAGGCAGCAGUAGGGAAUCUUCCGCAAUGGGCGAAAGCCUGACGGAGCAACGCCGCGUGAGUGAUGAAGGUCUUCGGAUCGUAAAACUCUGUUAUUAGGGAAGAACAUAUGUGUAAGUAACUGUGCACAUCUUGACGGUACCUAAUCAGAAAGCCACGGCUAACUACGUG
RNAcentral lists this ribosomal RNA (497 nucleotides) under uncultured bacterium. RNAcentral describes it as "partial 16S ribosomal RNA". It matches the Rfam family "Bacterial small subunit ribosomal RNA", at positions 28 to 507 of the family's 1533-position model. The record is from RNAcentral.